AGUGAACGCUGGCGGUAGGCCUAACACAUGCAAGUCGAACGGCAGCACAGUAAGAGCUUGCUCUUACGGGUGGCGAGUGGCGGACGGGUGAGGAAUACAUCGGAAUCUACUUUUUCGUGGGGGAUAACGUAGGGAAACUUACGCUAAUACCGCAUACGACCUACGGGUGAAAGCAGGGGAUCUUCGGACCUUGCGCGAUUGAAUGAGCCGAUGUCGGAUUAGCUAGUUGGCGGGGUAAAGGCCCACCAAGGCGACGAUCCGUAGCUGGUCUGAGAGGAUGAUCAGCGACACUGGAACUGCGACACGGUCCAGACUCCUACGGGAGGCAGCAGUGGGGAAUAUUGGACAAUGGGCGCAAGCCUGAUCCAGCCAUACCGCGUGGGUGAAGAAGGCCUUCGGGUUGUAAAGCCCUUUUGUUGGGAAAGAAAAGCAGCAGGUUAAUACCCCGCUGUUCUGACGGUACCCAAAGAAUAAGCACCGGCUAACUUCGUG
This 492-nucleotide ribosomal RNA is filed under the name uncultured bacterium. Its description in RNAcentral is "partial 16S ribosomal RNA". It matches the Rfam family "Bacterial small subunit ribosomal RNA", at positions 29 to 507 of the family's 1533-position model. The record is from RNAcentral.